UAUAGUCAGAGUGUUGCAUUGAAGGUGAUGGAGGAAGAUGGCACGAUUUUUUUGGAUUCGCAUGAAAGGAGAAAAAGAGUCCAGUCCCAGAAGAUGAACAGGAGAAGAGGCCUUUAUUUCUUUUUUUCCCUUUUCCCCUUUUCUCUCAGCGUAAUUGAAGAGUGAGAUGAGAGUAUCUUUUUCUUUUUUUUUCUUUCGCUAUCCAGCGUGAGAGAGUAUUCGUGAGUGGAGAGAGAAAUGAGUGAGUGGAGGGUCUAAUCUGUUUUUUUUUGUCUUUUUCUUUUUUCAUUUUUUUUAAUGUCCGAGAGAGGUGAGUGUUAGUAGGUUUUUAUCAGUGGGUGAGUUGAG
This 348-nucleotide long non-coding RNA is filed under the name Lathyrus oleraceus (garden pea). RNAcentral's name for it is "Pisum sativum (pea) long non-coding RNA (PSAT_LNC014895)". Lineage: Eukaryota; Viridiplantae; Streptophyta; Magnoliopsida; Fabales; Fabaceae. The record is from RNAcentral.